CUUCAUCCACUGCUUUGUGCUCGAUCACAUGUGUUUCAUGAGAUACUGCUUCAUCAUGAGGUACUGCUUCAUCCACUGCUUUGUGCUCGAUCACAUGUGUUUCAUGAGACACUGCUUCAUCAUGAGGUACUGCUCCAUCCACUGCUUUGUGCUCAAUCACUUCUUCCUUCGCUUCCACGGUCUCUGGUGCAACAGUCUCUAACACGACAUUGUCGCCGGUUUUGAUGGAUUCAGAAGGCUCUUCGUUCUGCAGGUUUAGUUCCAAUGAACUUAAAAUUAAUACGAGUUAAAGUUCAAUCUAGCAUGCCUACCUCUAUGAGAUUGCCAUGUCAAGGAACAAUGGCGUGCCAAUACCAUUUUGGCACACGAUAUAUGUAUAUAUAUGAUGAAUGCAGAGACUGAAACAUUGCCAUCAACUAGCAACUUGCAAUUUAGUUACCUAGCGUGUGGUUGCUAAUGCAUAUUGUUGUCCUCGUGCAGCUGUUUCCAAAGUAGCAUUACUACAAGCUAUAAAGAUCGCACCUUGAACUGGUCGUCGAGGGAUUUCAGGUGGCUCUCAGCCGGCGCCUCGUGUUCGACCUCCUGCUCGGAGGCCGCCACCACGACCUCCUCGUCCUUCUCCUCCUCCUUGGGGGAGUGCACCACCUUGGGAUCCUGCGAAGAGGGCGGCAGCUGCUCCAGCGGCAGCGGGGUGUCGCCUUGCGCC
RNAcentral lists this long non-coding RNA (706 nucleotides) under Musa acuminata (dwarf banana). Its description in RNAcentral is "long non-coding RNA (MACU_LNC001427)". The record is from RNAcentral. Lineage: Eukaryota; Viridiplantae; Streptophyta; Magnoliopsida; Zingiberales; Musaceae.